CAAGACCUCGCGCAUGAAGAGGAGCCCACGCCCGAUUAGCUAGUCGGCGGGGUAAGAGCCCACCAAGGCUUCGAUCGGUAGCCGGCCUGAGAGGGCGGUCGGCCACACUGGCACUGAGACACGGGCCAGACUCCUACGGGAGGCAGCAGUGGGGAAUUUUGGGGAAUGGGCGAAAGCCUGACCCAGCAACGCCGCGUGAAGGACGAAAUCCCUCUGGGAUGUAAACUUCGAAAGUCGGGAAACAAAUCGCCCAGGCUAAUACCCCGCAUAGAUGACGGUACCCGACGGGAGCCCCGGCUAACUACGUGCCAGCAGCCGCGGUAAUACGUAGGGGGCAAGCGUUGUUCGGAAUUAUUGGGUGGAAAGGGCGCGUAUGCGGCACAGCAAGUCGGGAGUGAAAGGCGGGGCUCAACCCCGGAACUGCUUUCGAAACUGCUGAGCUAGAGUGCAGAAGGGGCAACCAGAAAUCCCAGUGUAGCGGUGAAAUGCGUAGAUAUUGGGAAGAACACCUGAGGCGAAGGCGGGUUGCUGGGCUGAUACUGACGCUGAGGAGCGAAAGCCAGGGGAGCAAACGGCAUUAGAUACCCCGGUAGUCCUGGCCCUAAACGAUGGAUACUUGGUGUGUGGGGUUCUCUGAGUCCCCGCGUGCCGGAGCU
RNAcentral lists this ribosomal RNA (656 nucleotides) under uncultured bacterium. RNAcentral's name for it is "bacterial SSU rRNA". It matches the Rfam family "Bacterial small subunit ribosomal RNA", at positions 202 to 853 of the family's 1533-position model. The record is from RNAcentral.